CUGUGGGGUGAGAGUUUAUCAGUGAGACUGAGAUUGAAACUUUGGCGGGGGGUGCUAGGGCAUAUUUCUGCUGAUCCAAAUCAAAUCGAUAUUUCAAUUUCGUCCUUGUAAUUCCUCUUGGGUUGCCAUGGAAACCCCCAAAAUUGACCCGCUUUUGAUUCUCGAUCGUAACUCUCGCGCCACCAGAGGGAAGAGAAUGACCAAAUUACUUGAUGAGGAAAUCGAAGAGGACGAGAUGUUCUGGAAUCAGGAGGCUCUUAAAGAGGAUGAAGAGGAUGGUAACUAUGAAGCAGAGCCUGAGGUUGCAGACGAGUUUGAUAGUGACUUCGACGAAGAUGAGCCAGACCCGGACGAAGGAGUAGAAAACAACGAGGCAGAGGAAAGAGUUCGGACAAAGAAGCGGUUGAUAUUUCCGGGAAAGCAAUCAAGCAAGAAGAAGAAGAAGAAGAAAGUGCUAACGGAAUUAGAGAAAGAAUCUAAGGAUGAAAAUGAGAAAUCUUCCCAACCUGAACAGCAUCACGAUGCUCCUGAGGAAGGAGAAGGAGAGAGAAUCGUGAGAAAAUCUUCAAGAACUUCAGUGAUUAUCAGGCAAGCCGAGAGGGAUGCAAUACGUGCGGCUUUGCAAGCAACCAUGAAGCCGAUAAAGAGAAAAAAGGAAGGCGAGGAGAAGAGGAUGACCCAAGAAGAGAUGCUUUUAGAAGCAGCUCAAACAGAAAUUAUGAACUUGAGGAAUUUGGAGCGUGUUCUGGCAAGGGAGGAAGAAGUUAAGAAAAGAGCAAUUGUGCACAAAGCUGUCUAUACUGGCCCGCAAGUACGAUAUUUCUCAAAAGAUGGUUGCUCAUAUCUGGAAUUCAGUAGAGGAUUAUCAUUUCAGUCUGAAAUCUCUACCACGACUGCUCCCUACCCUGAGAAAGCUGUUUGUGCAGUUACUGGUUUACCUGCCAAGUACCGUGAUCCAAAGACAGGGCUACCUUAUGCAACAAAAGAAGCUUUUAAAAUUAUUCGCCAGCGGUAUGGUUUUCCAUGUUUCUACUUGAAAGUGGUCGGGUCAGGAAAGAGAUGGACCUGGGAGAUUUGCACGAUUCACUUUCUGGGAAAGGGUUUUUGGCAAGGCGGAAGAGAUCAGUGUCGUCAAAUAAAAUUGAUGUGUCGUAUUCACGUUACUUUGCACGUUUCCGCAGAAUUCCGGCCCUUGAAAGUGAAUCUUCUGAUUAACUUCCAUGGUAAUCUGAAGAGUUGUUUGCUGCGUGCAUUUUUAGAAAAGGAAGAAACGUUAUGUACUUUUUGGGCGGAGGCCUAAUUAUUAAGAUACAAACAAGGAUCUUUUUUGUCAUCUUCAUGAGGAAAGCGAUAAAAGCUCUAGGAGGAAGGCGGCUUGCAGACUAGCAUUAUCCUGUUGUGUUUUGGCAGUAGUGUUCCAUGCUGCCAUGGUGCAAUCCAAGACUCGAUCAUGCUUGCAGGGAACGCCCGUGUCCAAAAACCACUGUGUUAUAAUGAAGAGCGUAUGACUUGCAACAGGAGGAAAGCCUGGGUCCUAGCAUAUCCAAGACAUUACUAUUAUGUAAUUCAAGUAAUUGUUAGAUGUCACGUUGAUCAUUGAAAGCUCUUUUCUGAGUGUAUUUUGUUGCUGACAUAUGCCGUGCAACAGAGAAUUUUGUCCAGUUUUGGCUUUCUAUUAAUCUGGUCAUUUCAAUUUUCUGAGAGGGAA
Prunus dulcis (almond) is the source of this 1708-nucleotide RNA transcript. It is a transcript of the gene named SWR1 complex subunit 2, with no coding region annotated. NCBI's taxonomy places the organism in Eukaryota, Viridiplantae, Streptophyta, Magnoliopsida, Rosales, Rosaceae. The record is from RefSeq and is a predicted model, not a curated record. The transcript has 12 exons.